UUCUUAAUCUGCCUACAGAAUUAAAACUUUGUGAUGAGUUUCUUGAAGUCAGAAUCACAUGCUGGCCUUUAUAUAUGUAUAUGAAGAAGAUGCUACAUGGUUAUCUGUCCUUGCUAGAGUAUAUAAUUUGAAACGUUAUUAAGAACCAACUAUGUGCAAGACACCAUGGUAAAUCCUAGGGAAGAAUACAAAGAUGAGCACCAUAUAGUUCUCCCCAGUAUAUCGUCACCGUUAUCCACAAGAGCUGCUGUUUUUUGAAUAUCUUUCAUAUACCAGACGCUAUAUGAGGUGUUAAUCUAAGUGAGAACUGGCACAUAGAGUAAAGCUAAACAAGUGUUUAACCCGAAAAAGUACUUAAUGCUAAGUGUAAAUGCUCAUACCCAAGUUCUGAGAAACAAGGAGCAUAUUGAUUCAGAGAAGAGCUGCCUAACCACCUAAUACUGCAAAAAAAUCUUCCACCAUUCCUUUCUUUCAGAGGUCUGAGAUAUGUGGAUCUGGGCUGGGUGUAAGCAUAAUUCAAGAAAAUGAUUUGAGGAAAAGAAAUCCGUUUCAUUACUGCAUCCCCUUUACAAUUCAGAUGACUGACUUUAUAGCUCCAGCAAAGCCUUUGCCUCAACAGUCUAAGUAAGAGUUGCCUCUGCGAGGGAGAGGAGUUCCUAACACCUGCUCAGCCCACACAGCACCACCAUGACCAGCUCCACCUGACUGCUGUGAAAGGCCCCUUUGAGCAGCUCCAAGAUCAGGUGCAGGAAGACCCUUGAUAAUACAAAUGUGCACCAGAGACCCUCUAGGUCAGAUGCUGGCAUUCUAGAAGGAAGCGUCCUCAAAUUCCUGCUCUGGCUCUCAUGCUGAAGUCUCUGGGAACGCCUUUAUGGGACCUUAGGUACGUUGGCACUGCCUUCUAAACUUAUGUUGUUUCAGUCUGCAUCUCAUGCAUUCCCUAACCCCCAGAAACUAUGAUAUUGUGUUUU
RNAcentral lists this long non-coding RNA (971 nucleotides) under Sus scrofa (pig). RNAcentral describes it as "lncRNA (ENSSSCG00065066525.1)". The record is from RNAcentral. Lineage: Eukaryota; Metazoa; Chordata; Mammalia; Artiodactyla; Suidae.